This 468-nucleotide ribosomal RNA is filed under the name uncultured bacterium. RNAcentral describes it as "partial 16S ribosomal RNA". It matches the Rfam family "Bacterial small subunit ribosomal RNA", at positions 28 to 507 of the family's 1533-position model. The record is from RNAcentral.
GACGAACGCUGGCGGCGUGCUUAACACAUGCAAGUCGAACGGAAAGGCCCUGAUUUUGUGGGGUGAUCGAGUGGCGAACGGGUGAGUAACACGUGAGUAACCUGCCCUUGACUUUGGGAUAACUUCAGGAAACUGGGGCUAAUACAGGAUAGGAGCUCCUGCUGCAUGGUGGGGGUUGGAAAGUUUCGGCGGUUGGGGAUGGACUGGCGGCUUAUCAGCUUGUUGGUGGGGGAGUGGCUUACCAAGGAUUUGACGGGUAGCCGGCCUGAGAGGGUGACCGGCCACAUUGGGACUGAGAGACGGCGCAGACGCCUACGGGAGGCAGCAGUGGGGAAUAUUGUACAAUGGGCGGAAGCCUGAUGCAGCAACGCCGCGUGCGUGAUGACGGCCUGCGGGGUGUAAACCGCUGUCGCCUGUGACGAAGCGGGAGUGACGGUAAUGGGUAAAGAAGCACCGGCUAACUACGUG